Molecule: ribosomal RNA, 442 nt
Filed under: uncultured bacterium
Lineage: Bacteria
Description: SSU rRNA
Rfam family: Bacterial small subunit ribosomal RNA
Source: RNAcentral
AGAACGAACGCUGGCGGCAGGCUUAACACAUGCAAGUCGAGCGCCCCGCAAGGGGAGCGGCAGACGGGUGAGUAACGCGUGGGAAUCUACCCAUCUCUACGGAAUAACUCAGGGAAACUUGUGCUAAUACCGUAUACGCCCUUCGGGGAAGAUUUAUCGGAGAUGGAUGAGCCCGCGUUGGAUUAGCUAGUUGGUGGGGUAAAGGCCUACCAAGGCGACGAUCCAUAGCUGGUCUGAGAGGAUGAUCAGCCACAUUGGGACUGAGACACGGCCCAAACUCCUACGGGAGGCAGCAGUGGGGAAUAUUGGACAAUGGGCGCAAGCCUGAUCCAGCCAUGCCGCGUGUGUGAUGAAGGCCUUAGGGUUGUAAAGCACUUUCACCGGAGAAGAUAAUGACGGUAUCCGGAGAAGAAGCCCCGGCUAACUUCGUGCCAGCAGCCGC